CAGCCGCCACGGGAAUACGUAGGGUGCAAGCGUUAAUCGGAAUUACUGGGCGUAAAGCGUGCGCAGGCGGUUAUAUAAGACAGAUGUGAAAUCCCCGGGCUCAACCUGGGAACUGCAUUUGUGACUGUAUAGCUAGAGUACGGCAGAGGGGGAUGGAAUUCCGCGUGUAGCAGUGAAAUGCGUAGAUAUGCGGAGGAACACCGAUGGCGAAGGCAAUCCCCUGGGCCUGUACUGACGCUCAUGCACGAAAGCGUGGGGAGCAAACAGGAUUAGAUACCCCGGUAGUCCCUGUCUCUUAUAA
This 301-nucleotide ribosomal RNA is filed under the name uncultured bacterium. Its description in RNAcentral is "partial 16S ribosomal RNA". It matches the Rfam family "Bacterial small subunit ribosomal RNA", at positions 509 to 809 of the family's 1533-position model. The record is from RNAcentral.